This 366-nucleotide non-coding RNA is filed under the name Ramazzottius varieornatus. RNAcentral's name for it is "Eukaryotic large subunit ribosomal RNA". It matches the Rfam family "Eukaryotic large subunit ribosomal RNA", at positions 1910 to 2176 of the family's 3401-position model. The record is from Rfam by way of RNAcentral. Lineage: Eukaryota; Metazoa; Tardigrada; Eutardigrada; Parachela; Ramazzottiidae.
GAAGUUGGCAAAAUGGAUCUAUUAACUUUGGACAAAAGACUGGCUCCGAGGACUAGGCCGAACGGGCUCUAGCUUGGAACUGUCGUGGCUUCGGCGAGGAAUUGUAGCUGGGUGAUUAUUUGGUGCUACAGAAUCGGCUAGCUUUGCUUGCCUAUAAACCAUUGCAUGGGCUGACAGUAGACGGUUAGAGCUGCGUCGAUCGGGGUUCAAAUCGAUCAACGCUUCGUUCGUCGCGUAACAGCCGACUCAGAACUGAGAUAGACCAAGCGAUUCCAACUGCCUUAUCAAUAUAAAGCACUGCGAUGUUCGGUGGUCGGUGAUCUGCACGAAAACCACACUCUUCCUCAAAAUUAAGGAUCUUUCUGU